UAGAUAGAGUAAACUCUUACUCCAACUCCCCGUUCCAAAACUGCGUUUAAUAUAGCGUUCAUCAAACAGAAGAACAUACCAGAUAUUAAACUGAUAAGAACACACACUACACUCAAUCAUUAACCAAACAGCAAAAAAGAGAUACCAGUUACCCGGGGCCUCCCACGUCCUCCCUUCUUUCAUCCACCUUAAGGUCACGGUGAGAAACCUCACCUUCGGUAAACAUCUCACCUGCUUUCUGAUGUAAAUAUUAUAUUGAAAACAUAGGCCCUUUGAGACAUUUUGUCCGCUCCUUGACUCUUAGUGACUUCGAGCUUUGUCGCCCCUUUUCCUUGGUCGCGAGGGCCGUUCAUUUGCAUGUCCCACCCGCUCUGCGCCCGGGAGGCGUGGCCACCAAGGGGCCGGGCCCUGCACAGCGCCCUGGGGAAGCUGGUUUGAAAGCUCUGGAGCGACCCCAAUGCCGGAUAUUUACGUAAUUUCGAAGCAGCUCUUCACAAAAUAUUCAUCAGUUACAGAAGGAAGUCACUUCACAGUGGAAAAAUCUGGCAGGUGCCACCUUAAUCAAGUAACCAAAAUGAACAUCAUCAGUAAUAGGACAAAUUGCAAUCGUGUGCCUCCUGAUAGUCUAGCAAGAAGAACACAGCAUCACUUCUAUGAUGCUCCUGCCAAUAAUAUAUAAUUGGAAUCUAAUCCUAAAGCAACAAAUUCAAAUUAAGGAAAAUUCUACAAAAUAAUUGGCCUGUAAUAGAAGUGUUAAAGGUCAUGAAAGUUAAGGAAAGACUGAAGAACUGUUCCAGACUGAAGAUGAAAGAGAUGUGAGAAAUAAGUGCAGUGGUGAUUCUGAACUGGAUCCUGACUUGGCAAAACUUGAAUAGGUCUGUUGGUUGGAUGGUAGAAAUAUAGUAAUGUUGAUUUCCUGAUUUUUGCUAGCUAUAUUACAAUUUUAUUGGAUUCAGUCCUUGUUUACAGAAGACACACAGUAUGUAGGGGUUAUAAGAAGUCAGCUCAGGAACUUUCAAAUCAUUUAGCAAAACAAAAGUUCUUCGUACUUUAAUUCCAAGACUUCUAUAAAUUUGAGAUUAUUUUUAAAAUACUUAAAAAAAACUCCUUUAAAGUCUCUCAA
This 1123-nucleotide long non-coding RNA is filed under the name Homo sapiens (human). RNAcentral describes it as "HSALNT0304130". The record is from RNAcentral. Lineage: Eukaryota; Metazoa; Chordata; Mammalia; Primates; Hominidae.